GAUGAAGAACGCAGCGAAAUGCGAUACGUAAUGUGAAUUGCAGAAUUCAGUGAAUCAUCGAAUCUUUGAACGCAUAUUGCGCUCUCUGGUAUUCCGGAGAGCAUGCUUGUUUGAGUAUCAGUAAACACCUCAACUUCCAUAUCUUUUUUUGAAAUGGGAGUUGGACUUGAGUGAUCCCAACGCUUUUCCUCACCGAAAAGUGGCGGGUUACUUGAAAUGCAGGUGCAGCUGGACUUUUCUCUGAGCUAUAAGCAUAUCUAUUUAGUCUGCCUAAAAAACAGAUUAUUACCUUUGCUGCAGCUAACAUAAAGGAGAUUAGUUCUUGUGCUGACUGAUGCAGCAUUCACAAAGACAGCUUCGGCCGACUUUGUAAACUCGAUCUCAAAUCAAGUAAGACUACCCGCUGAACUUAAGCAUAUCAAUAAGCGGAGGA
This 433-nucleotide unclassified non-coding RNA is filed under the name soil metagenome. Its description in RNAcentral is "partial contains 5.8S ribosomal RNA, internal transcribed spacer 2, and large subunit ribosomal RNA". The stretch from base 1 to 120 matches the Rfam family "5.8S ribosomal RNA", at positions 35 to 154 of the family's 154-position model. The record is from RNAcentral.